AUUGAACGCUGGCGGCAGGCCUAACACAUGCAAGUCGAGCGGAUGAAGGGAGCUUGCUCCUGGAUUCAGCGGCGGACGGGUGAGUAAUGCCUAGGAAUCUGCCUGGUAGUGGGGGAUAACGUCCGGAAACGGGCGCUAAUACCGCAUACGUCCUGAGGGAGAAAGUGGGGGAUCUUCGGACCUCACGCUAUCAGAUGAGCCUAGGUCGGAUUAGCUAGUUGGUGGGGUAAAGGCCUACCAAGGCGACGAUCCGUAACUGGUCUGAGAGGAUGAUCAGUCACACUGGAACUGAGACACGGUCCAGACUCCUACGGGAGGCAGCAGUGGGGAAUAUUGGACAAUGGGCGAAAGCCUGAUCCAGCAAUGCCGCGUGUGUGAAGAAGGUCUUCGGAUUGUAAAGCACUUUAAGUUGGGAGGAAGGGAAGUAAGUUAAUACAUUGCUGUUUUGACGUUACCAACAGAAUAAGCAACGGCUAACUUCGUG
Molecule: ribosomal RNA, 484 nt
Filed under: uncultured bacterium
Lineage: Bacteria
Description: partial 16S ribosomal RNA
Rfam family: Bacterial small subunit ribosomal RNA
Source: RNAcentral